This 497-nucleotide ribosomal RNA is filed under the name uncultured bacterium. RNAcentral describes it as "partial 16S ribosomal RNA". It matches the Rfam family "Bacterial small subunit ribosomal RNA", at positions 28 to 507 of the family's 1533-position model. The record is from RNAcentral.
GACGAACGCUGGCGGCGUGCCUAAUACAUGCAAGUUGAGCGCUGAAGGUUGGUACUUGUACCAACUGGAUGAGCAGCGAACGGGUGAGUAACGCGUGGGGAAUCUGCCUUUGAGCGGGGGACAACAUUUGGAAACGAAUGCUAAUACCGCAUAAAAACUUUAAACACAAGUUUAAAGUUUGAAAGAUGCAAUUGCAUAACUAAAAGAUGAUCCCGCGUUGUAUUAGCUAGUUGGUGAGGUAAAGGCUCACCAAGGCGAUGAUACAUAGCCGACCUGAGAGGGUGAUCGGCCACAUUGGGACUGAGACACGGCCCAAACUCCUACGGGAGGCAGCAGUAGGGAAUCUUCGGCAAUGGACGAAAGUCUGACCGAGCAACGCCGCGUGAGUGAAGAAGGUUUUCGGAUCGUAAAACUCUGUUGGUAGAGAAGAACGUUGGUGAGAGUGGAAAGCUCAUCAAGUGACGGUAACUACCCAGAAAGGGACGGCUAACUACGUG